GGAGAGGUGUCCGAGUGGUUGAAGGAGCACGCCUUGGAAAGUGUGUAAGCGUCUAAACCGCGCUUCGGGGGUUCGAAUCCCCCUCUCUCCGCCA
RNAcentral lists this transfer RNA (94 nucleotides) under Pseudoxanthomonas sp. NC8. RNAcentral's name for it is "tRNA-Pro". It matches the Rfam family "tRNA". Rfam says of the family: Transfer RNA (tRNA) molecules are approximately 80 nucleotides in length. Their secondary structure includes four short double-helical elements and three loops (D, anti-codon, and T loops). Further hydrogen bonds mediate the characteristic L-shaped molecular structure. tRNAs have two regions of fundamental functional importance: the anti-codon, which is responsible for specific mRNA codon recognition, and the 3' end, to which the tRNAs corresponding amino acid is attached (by aminoacyl-tRNA synthetases). tRNAs cope with the degeneracy of the genetic code in two manners: having more than one tRNA (with a specific anti-codon) for a particular amino acid; and 'wobble' base-pairing, i.e. permitting non-standard base-pairing at the 3rd anti-codon position. Lineage: Bacteria; Pseudomonadati; Pseudomonadota; Gammaproteobacteria; Lysobacterales; Lysobacteraceae. The record is from RNAcentral.